UUUUUUUAUUUUCUUUUUAACAUGACUUAAAUUAAAACAGAUAUGGAAGUAGUCAAAUAUUAUAAACGGGAAUAUGAAGAACAAACUUAUGAUGAUUAUUUUAUUAUAUAAUAAAGUUUGGAUACCAUCAAAAAUUAAAAAUAAUUCCUAUUUAUGCGAUACCCUUUCAUUUCAGAUUGAUAAUACUGCACAAACAUAUAUUAUAAUAUAAA
RNAcentral lists this long non-coding RNA (212 nucleotides) under Capsella rubella. Its description in RNAcentral is "long non-coding RNA (CRUB_LNC000797)". Lineage: Eukaryota; Viridiplantae; Streptophyta; Magnoliopsida; Brassicales; Brassicaceae. The record is from RNAcentral.